CAGCAGCCGCGGGAAUACGUAGGUGGCAAGCGUUAUCCGGAAUUAUUGGGCGUAAAGCGCGCGUAGGCGGUUUCUUAAGUCUGAUGUGAAAGCCCACGGCUCAACCGUGGAGGGUCAUUGGAAACUGGGAAACUUGAGUGCAGAAGAGGAAAGUGGAAUUCCAUGUGUAGCGGUGAAAUGCGCAGAGAUAUGGAGGAACACCAGUGGCGAAGGCGACUUUCUGGUCUGUAACUGACGCUGAUGUGCGAAAGCGUGGGGAUCAAACAGGAUUAGAUACCCGCGUAGUCCCUGUCUCUUAUAC
RNAcentral lists this ribosomal RNA (301 nucleotides) under uncultured bacterium. RNAcentral describes it as "partial 16S ribosomal RNA". It matches the Rfam family "Bacterial small subunit ribosomal RNA", at positions 509 to 807 of the family's 1533-position model. The record is from RNAcentral.